GACGAACGCUGGCGGCGUGCUUAACACAUGCAAGUCGAACGGUCCUAUCGUUGACACUGAGUAUAUUGCCAAGCGUCUUGCGAAAGCGAAGCUUGAGCAACACGGUACAAUCCAAGAGCAUAGCACAUGCAAGGAUGGCGAUAUAUUGAGUGUUAACGAUAGGAUAGUGGCGGACGGGCGAGUAACGCGUGAGCAACCUGCCCUAAAGUGGGGGAUAACGUCGGGAAACCGGCGCUAAUACCGCAUAAGACUACGAAUCCGCAUGGAUAUGUAGUCAAAGGCUCCGGCGGUUUAGGAUGGGCUCGCGUCCGAUUAGCUAGUUGGUGAGGUAACGGCCCACCAAGGCGACGAUCGGUAGCCGAACUGAGAGGUUGAUCGGCCACAUUGGGACUGAGACACGGCCCAGACUCCUACGGGAGGCAGCAGUGGGGAAUAUUGCGCAAUGGGGGAAACCCUGACGCAGCAACGCCGCGUGAAGGAUG
This 482-nucleotide ribosomal RNA is filed under the name uncultured bacterium. RNAcentral describes it as "bacterial SSU rRNA". It matches the Rfam family "Bacterial small subunit ribosomal RNA", at positions 28 to 410 of the family's 1533-position model. The record is from RNAcentral.